GAAGGUAGCAUAAUCAGUAGUCUUUUAAUUGAAGGCUGGUAUGAAUGGUUGGACGAAAUAUUAACUGUUUCAUUUAAAUUUAUUAUAGAACUUUAUUUUUUAGUUAAAAAGCUAAAAUUUUUUUAAAAGACGAGAAGACCCUAUAAAUCUUAAUAUUUAUAUUAUUUUAAUUAUAAAGAUUAUUUUAAUUAUAAUUUUUAUAAAUAUUUUAUUGGGGUGAUAUUAAAAUAUAAUAAACUUUUAAUUUUUUAUUACAUUAAUUUAUGAUUAAUUGAUCCAUUAUUAAUGAUUAAAAAUUUAAGUUACUUUAGGGAUAACAGCGUAAUUUUUUUGGAGAGUUCAUAUCGAUAAAAAAGAUUGCGACCUCGAUGUUGGAUUAA
RNAcentral lists this ribosomal RNA (380 nucleotides) under Agathomyia viduella. RNAcentral describes it as "partial 16S ribosomal RNA". The record is from RNAcentral. Lineage: Eukaryota; Metazoa; Arthropoda; Insecta; Diptera; Platypezidae.